GGAUGUGAGGGCGAUCUGCUGCGACAUCUGUCAUGCCAUUGAUCACCAGGGUUGAUUCGGCUGAUCUGGCUGGUUAGGCAGGUGUCCCCUUCCUCCCUCACCGCUCCAUGUGCACCCUUCCGAAAGCUGUGUGCUCAGUGCAAGAGGACGACCAGCCCAGAUAGAAGGAGUGUACCGUUCUUCGGUCAAGGNUAUACGAUGGCUGUGCUCCCCUGCUAGAACCUCCAAACAAACGCAAGAUCCAUUUGUAGAAAUGUAGGGUAGUCAAGCGUCCAAGACUCCAGUCACAUCCAAGUAAGGCACUGCAUGUGGCAGUUUGCCAUUCUUU
Molecule: small nuclear RNA, 328 nt
Filed under: Salvator merianae (Argentine black and white tegu)
Lineage: Eukaryota; Metazoa; Chordata; Lepidosauria; Squamata; Teiidae
Description: 7SK RNA (ENSSMRG00000015894.1)
Rfam family: 7SK RNA
About the family: 7SK was discovered as an abundant small nuclear RNA in the mid-70s but a possible function has only recently been suggested.
Source: RNAcentral